Nyctereutes procyonoides (raccoon dog) is the source of this 517-nucleotide long non-coding RNA. RefSeq lists it as uncharacterized. NCBI's taxonomy places the organism in Eukaryota, Metazoa, Chordata, Mammalia, Carnivora, Canidae. The record is from RefSeq and is a predicted model, not a curated record. The transcript has 4 exons.
GUUUUUUAAUCUUAGAAAGAUUCUAAGAUUGGCUGUCACUACCACCAAAUUAAGAUUCUUCCAUGUUUCCUUUGACUAAAACAGAAUGAAUGGAUCCUGGCUAAGCCUCUACUGUGGCAAAAAUCUGGGGGAAGUGAUGUUCAGGAGACAUAAGUAUCCACUACCCUUCUAAGGCUGCAAUUGAAUGAGGGAGAUAGCAACCAUAACAAACACAAUGUAAGAAUAUAUGAAGUAAGUGCUAGAGCUUAUGUGUUUUAAUGAAGCAAGCUGCCAUGUUAGAGAGCCCCACGUGGUAAAGAAUGGAGAGAAGCCUCCAGCCAACAGCCACCGAGGAACUGAAUCCUGCCAGCAAGCACAUAAGUCAGCCUGGAAGCAAAUCCUUACCCACUAGGGGCUUGCAAUGACCAUAGCUUGUGAUGGUUGGCUGCAGCCUGUGAUGUCAGGGACCCAGCUAAGCCAGCCUGGAACUCUGACCUUGUGGAAACUAUAAGAUAAUAAAUGUUGUUGAAACCCACUA